RNAcentral lists this transfer RNA (72 nucleotides) under uncultured Ruminococcus sp. It matches the Rfam family "tRNA". From Rfam's summary of the family: Transfer RNA (tRNA) molecules are approximately 80 nucleotides in length. Their secondary structure includes four short double-helical elements and three loops (D, anti-codon, and T loops). Lineage: Bacteria; Bacillati; Bacillota; Clostridia; Eubacteriales; Oscillospiraceae. The record is from RNAcentral.
GAGGAUUAGCUCAGCUGGUUAGAGCGCCUGCUUCACACGCAGGAGGUCACUGGUUCGAGUCCGGCAUUCUCC